RNAcentral lists this unclassified non-coding RNA (508 nucleotides) under Hevea brasiliensis (rubber tree). Lineage: Eukaryota; Viridiplantae; Streptophyta; Magnoliopsida; Malpighiales; Euphorbiaceae. The record is from RNAcentral.
GCUUAAGCUACGCAUCAACAGGUAUAGGCCUUUGUGGGAACGAUAUGUAAAUCAGACGCACCCACACCUUCAGGAUUGUGCUACACAUUGAAAUGACUAUACUUUUUCACAUACUCGAGAAGAUCCCAUCAUUGUAGAGUUAGAAAUAGACAAUUUUGCCCUAUUAAGGAUUCUUCCCUAGUCUUGUUAUCAGUUUAGUAGUGUGAAAAAAGGAAAACUGAUAUUAUACAACAAAGGGUUUAGGGGAAUCACUUAUGGUUGAGAGGUUUUCUCUGUCUCUACAAAUGAUAGAACAAAUUUUCCUAGCAUUUUUUGUAAUAAUCUUGUUCCUUUUGAUCACAUCUAGGUUAGACAUUUUGUCUUUGCUUCUUUGUUGUUCUGUACGCGGAUCCAAUUAUUUUUAGUUGCUGUAACAUAUAACUACUGCAACCUAUGUAAGUGAUUUAUACUGAUGAUAUGAUGCAUCAGAGCGACUAUUAUGGUUUUUUGGCCUUUGGUACAAGAUAGA